CUUGGUCAUUUAGAGGAAGUAAAAGUCGUAACAAGGUUUCCGUAGGUGAACCUGCGGAAGGAUCAUUAAUGAAACAAACCGGGGGCGGUGGGGCGUGGCCUCGCACCGGCGGAGACGCCGUGUCGCGGGCUCGCUCCGCCCCCUCAUCCACAACCCACACACAUGUGCACCAUAGGGACGGCGGGUGGAUAACGCACGUCGUCUCGCUUUACAAGCUCUAAAGUCUAUUUUGAAUGUCAUUUUAUUCGGGCUAGUACCGAUGUAUUAAACAUAACAACUUUCAACAACGGAUCUCUUGGCUCUCGCAUCGAUGAAGAACGCAGCGAAAUGCGAUAAGUAAUGUGAAUUGCAGAAUUCAGUGAAUCAUCGAAUCUUUGAACGCACCUUGCGCCCAUUGGUAUUCCGAUGGGCAUGCCUGUUUGAGUGUCUUGAAAUCAUCAAGCCCGUUCGGUUUCACCGCCGAGCGCGUGGCUUGGACUUGGGGGCUUGCCGCUUCGCCGCGGCUCCCCUUAAAUGCAUCGGUUUCGGGUCUCUGUGGGAGUAACCCCUUGGGCGUUGUAUAACCCUCGCCGUCUGGGAACUCCUCGCGACGUUCGCGUCGUCGAAGGGCCUUGAAGGAACCUCGACCUGCUGUAGAGCGGCGGUCAAUGUUAAAUCGAGAUUUGACCUCAAAUCAGGUAGGACUACCCGCUGAACUUAAGCAUAUCAAUAAGCGGAGGAAAAGAAACUAACAAGGAUUCCCCUAGUAACUGCGAGUGAAGCGGGAAAAGCUCAAAUUUGAAAUCUGGCGUCUCCGGCGUCCGAGUUGUAUUCUGGAGAAGCGUUUUCCGUGCUGGACCGUGUACAAGUCCCUUGGAACAGGGCGUCAUAGAGGGUGAGAAUCCCGUCUUUGACACGGACUGCCAGUGCUCUGCGAUGCGCUCUCGAAGAGUCGAGUUGUUUGGGAAUGCAGCUCAAAACGGGUGGUAAAUUCCAUCUAAAGCUAAAUAUUGGCGAGAGACCGAUAGCGAACAAGUACCGUGAGGGAAAGAUGAAAAGCACUUUGGAAAGAGAGUGAAACAGUACGUGAAAUUGUUGAAAGGGAAACGCUUGUAGUCAGUCGCGUCGACCGAGACUCAGCCUUGCCUUGGCUUGGUGUACUUCUCGGCUGACGGGUCAGCAUCAAUUUUGCCCCUUGGAUAAUGGCGAGGGAAAUGUGACACCUUUGCGGUGUGUUAUAGUCUCUUGUCGCAUGCAAGGGUUGGGAUUGAGGAACUCAGCACGCGCCUUUGGGCGUCGGGGCUUUGCCCACGAUACGUGCUUAGGAUGUUGGCGUAAUGGCUUUAAACGACCCGUCUUGAAACACGGACC
RNAcentral lists this ribosomal RNA (1350 nucleotides) under uncultured fungus. Its description in RNAcentral is "eukaryotic LSU rRNA". The stretch from base 664 to 1350 matches the Rfam family "Eukaryotic large subunit ribosomal RNA", at positions 1 to 667 of the family's 3401-position model. Lineage: Eukaryota; Fungi. The record is from RNAcentral.